Molecule: ribosomal RNA, 886 nt
Filed under: Lederbergia ruris
Lineage: Bacteria; Bacillati; Bacillota; Bacilli; Caryophanales; Bacillaceae
Description: bacterial SSU rRNA
Rfam family: Bacterial small subunit ribosomal RNA
Source: RNAcentral
AGCGAAUCUAAAGGGAGCUUGCUCCCGGAAGAUUAGCGGCGGACGGGUGAGUAACACGUGGGCAACCUACCUGUAAGUCUGGGAUAACUUCGGGAAACCGGAGCUAAUACCGGAUAAUUUCUUUCUUCGCAUGAAGAAAGGUUGAAAGACGGCUUUGCUGUCACUUACAGAUGGGCCCGCGGCGCAUUAGUUAGUUGGUGAGGUAACGGCUCACCAAGACCACGAUGCGUAGCCGACCUGAGAGGGUGAUCGGCCACACUGGGACUGAGACACGGCCCAGACUCCUACGGGAGGCAGCAGUAGGGAAUCUUCCGCAAUGGACGAAAGUCUGACGGAGCAACGCCGCGUGAGUGAAGAAGGUCUUCGGAUCGUAAAACUCUGUUAUCAGGGAAGAACAAGUACCGGAGUCACUGCCGGUACCUUGACGGUACCUGACCAGAAAGCCACGGCUAACUACGUGCCAGCAGCCGCGGUAAUACGUAGGUGGCAAGCGUUGUCCGGAAUUAUUGGGCGUAAAGCGCGCGCAGGCGGUUCUUUAAGUCUGAUGUGAAAUCUUGCGGCUCAACCGUGAGCGGUCAUUGGAAACUGGAGAACUUGAGUGCAGAAGAGAAGAGCGGAAUUCCACGUGUAGCGGUGAAAUGCGUAGAGAUGUGGAGGAACACCAGUGGCGAAGGCGGCUCUUUGGUCUGUAACUGACGCUGAGGCGCGAAAGCGUGGGGAGCGAACAGGAUUAGAUACCCUGGUAGUCCACGCCGUAAACGAUGAGUGCUAAGUGUUAGAGGGUUUCCGCCCUUUAGUGCUGCAGCAAACGCAUUAAGCACUCCGCCUGGGGAGUACGGCCGCAAGGCUGAAACUCAAAGGAAUUGACGGGGGCCCGCACAAGCGG